RNAcentral lists this long non-coding RNA (3312 nucleotides) under Canis lupus familiaris (dog). RNAcentral describes it as "lncRNA (ENSCAFG00000050825.1, ENSCAFG00845029361.1)". Lineage: Eukaryota; Metazoa; Chordata; Mammalia; Carnivora; Canidae. The record is from RNAcentral.
UUUUUUUUUUUUUUUUUUAAGAUUUACUUAUUUAAUUAUUUAUUCAUGAUAGACAUAGAGAGAAGAGAGAGGCAGAGACACAGGAAGAGGGAGAAGAAGCAGGCUCCAUGCCAGGAGCCUGACGCGGUAUUUGAUCCCGGGACUCUAGGAUCCAUGCCCUGGGCCAAAGGCAGGCGCUAAACUGCUGAGCCACCCAGGGAUCCCCUGAGCCACCCAGGGAUCCCCGACUUCUGCAUUUCUUUUGAGCUUUACAGUUUUCUGAUUAUUGUUUUGGGCCUUUGACAUAUAUUUAGAAUAUUUCUCAGUUAUCCUAAAUCAGCUCCUUACCACACUGUAUUAGAUAGGAUUAGGCUUGGCUACAUAUAGGAUAUCCCUGAUAAAUAAUAACAUGACUAAAACAUGAGAUAAAUUCCUUUCAUAUAAAAUCAAUUUGGUAAACUAGUCUGGUAAUUUUUACAAAACCAUUGGUAACCAAAUCCUUCUUACUCUUCACUCUAUAAACCUGAGAGUAUGAAUUUGUCUUCAUGUUUCAGGAAGGCAGCUGGAGAUCCAGGCAUCAUGUUUGCAUUCUAGGAUGUCAGCAGAAAGAAGGAAAUUUAAAAUUUCCUGCAGGUACCUCCUAUACUUUACCUAUAUCUGGAUGGCCAGAAUUUAUUUUCUGGGUCACAUCUGAAACUGGAGAAAAGCUGAGCAUAUCACUAUAUUGAAUAAAAUCCUUUUUUAAAAAUCAGAGGAAAAAUAGAAAAUUAAUAUUGAGGUAGGAAGUUAUCUAUCUCUAUUCUAGUCAUGGAAAAAUGAAGUAUGUAUUUACUGACUCAAGUGAAAAUAAAAGUUAUAGGCUCUUGAAUACAGAGGAUGUAUUUUUCACAAAAUUUAUUUUUCUAAUUCUAGCUCUUAGUCCUGCCGUUUCUCCCAAACUAUAGCAUUAUGGUCCUUGAAACUCCAUUUAUAACACACACAACACACAUCCUCAAAUGCUAAGUACAUACUUGAUAAUGUAUGGCCAUAUCAUUCUUCUCUUUCUGACUCCUGACAUUUUGGAUAAGUUGUUUUCUUCCAAAGGAUACUAGGAUACUCUUCUCGAUUUUAUGUCUACUAAUUAUUUGGGGUUCUGUGUCACUGAUGUUUUGCCUAGAAGGCUAGGUUGGGACCCCUCCCUUGUCAAAAUGGCCACAUUACUUUGUUAUAAUAACUUCUCUAUUGUCAGUCUUCCGAACUAGAAGUCAGUGAAAACAGAGAGGAUCUACAUCUGUUUGUUCCAUGCUCUAACCUUAAUGUCUAGUAUAGUGCCUAGGAAAUAGGUGCUCAAAAAGUUGGUUGAAGGAGUAAAAGAGUAUAAAGGUGAAUGACUACACCCAGAUGAAAAGGCAUUCAAGUUCUGAUUGCUGCCAAGCAAUGAGUGGUUAAGUGUGGUGCUCAGUAGCAGAGGUGUCAGAUUUGGGGUGUGCAAAAAUGUAGUAAUUUUUAUCCAACUGAAAUUAACAUUGAUGUUGAACCCCUUGUUCUACUUGGAUAUUUAAUCUUAGGCAAUUCAAGAUAGACUUCAUCAAGUUACGGUUUUCUCAGUAAUUCCAGGAUUCACCCUUCUGAUUUUGCAUCUCAAUUGUGAGGAAGUUAAAAUACAUCAAGGCAGGAGGAAGAGAGUGCACCUGGGCUGCUCUCUGUCCCAGCUGGCAUCUGCUGAGAUGCACUAUUCUAACUGAUCCUUUGGUUCUGUGACUUUUCUAGUGUGGCAUCUACUGAGGCAUCUGGGUGGCCAUUGGUGUUUAGUUGCUGUAGUCCCCUAGUACACCCGUCAGCCGUUGAGGAGUUCCAACCUAGGAGAUGUGAUUGAACGUGUGAGCUCUUACUUUUAACAACCCCGUGCCUCCCAAGUAGGCACAGGCAAAAUUAAGCUAUUUUUCUAUUCCACAUUGAGGCCAAAGGAAACUCUGUGGAGCUUUCCCAGACACCUGCCUAUAGACAUUCCCAAAGCAUUAUCUCUACCCACUGUUACCUGGCUGAGGUAGAGCCCUAUAUAAGGUUUGCCUCUUGGCUAGUCUCCAGUCAGGAAGUGGGGCACUGGUCUCCUCUUCACUCAGAGCCCAAACCUAUCUAGGAUCCUUUGCCCCUCACCCUCUCCCAAGAGUUUUGGACCUGGUGAUGAUGGUCAGAGGGCAGGAUCUCCUUUCAGAGACUCACACCAUCUAACUUCACCGUUCUCCUCUCAUAUCUCAGACUUCUCUCUUGAAGUUUUUCUCUCUUCAAAAUUGCUUUGGCCAAUCUCACAUGCUUUCAGGUUUAUUGUAUAUGGUAUAAAUGUCACCAAUAACAUGAUUUUAUUUGAUACUUGAAAGGCUUUUGAGGCUCAAAAAUAAUCUUUUGCUUCAUCUUUGUUGCAAGUUUCGGAAGUCUACUUUAAAAUUCAGAAGCUGAGUGUGAAGUCUUUUCACUUACCCUUUGGUCCCUUCUCUGAGCAAAGCCUAAAUGCCCAAAAGGGAGGUCAUGGAGCAAAAUGAGAAUUUUAAGGGAAAAAAACCCCAGAUGGCUUAUUAACAGAUUAACCCAACAUAUUUAUAGUAGGGAUAGUCGAGAAUCACUUUAAAUGCCCCCAACUGGUAGAAUAAAUAAUGUUAUAAUGGAGAGGUAUAAAAUCAUUGAAUAUUUUAAAGCUUUUUUAAUAAUAUAAAAAUCUUUGUUUUAAUAAGUGAAAAGAAUGGUUUAUAAAAGUGACUAUGUACAAAGAUCAGAGCUUUAUACAAAUACUCAGAAAAAUAAUGAGGAAAAAUAUCAUAAUUUUAGCAGUGAUUGGAUAGCAGGACAAUGGGUAAUUUCUAUUUUCUACAUAUCGUAAUUUUUCCUUCUAAGGAACAUGAAUAAGUUUAUGUUUAUAUAUAUUAUAGGUGAUAUAUGUAUUAUAUAUAUGUAUGUAUAUAGUUCCAGUUUGAAAUAAAUAAUAAAAUUUCCUAUAGACCAGCCAGGCAAGUAGCAUCCUUUAUACAAUGAUGGAUGAAUAAGACUUCUAUCUGAGGGUGUUAUAUGUAUUUCUUAAAAAGGGAAGCAAUCUAGGGGAUAAGCCUGAAGUAGUGAAGCCCCCACAAGGAUAUCAAUGGAAUAAUAUGCAGGUGGAGGCAGAAGUUCAUGGCUUGCAGUUAGGGCGGGUUGCUGCCUUUAAAUGCUUGCUCAGAUGUGGGUAGAUUUUGCUCUCUGUCACUGCACAAACAUAUUUAAAGACAUAUUCUACAUUAUAGAGCAAGAAAUUGUGGUAUAUAGAUACAUAGAAUAUUUUAAAAAUUGUGGUUAUUAAUUGUAAGAAGAGAUCAGAUCAAAAAA